CCUACGGGUGGCAGCAGUGAGGAAUAUUGGUCAAUGGCCGUAAGGCUGAACCAGCCAAGUCGCGUGAAGGAUGAAGGUACUGUGUUUUGUAAACUUCUUUUGUCGGGGAAUAAAGGUAUGGACGUGUGGAUAUUUGCAUGUACCUUAUGAAUAAGCAUCGGCUAACUCCGUGCCAGCAGCCGCGGUAAUACGGAGGAUGCGAGCGUUAUCCGGAUUUAUUGGGUUUAAAGGGUGCGUAGGCUGUUUGUUAAGUAAGCGGUUAAAGUCUGUGGCUUAACCCUCGGCUCGCCGUUGAACCUGGCAGUCUGGAGUGGGAGAGAGGUAUGCGGAAUGCGUGGUGUAGCGGUGAAAUGCAUAGAUAUCGCGCAGAACUCCGAUUGCGAAGGCAGCAUGCCGGGGCAACACUGACGCUGAGGCACGAAAGCGUGGGUAUCGAACAGGAUUAGAUACCCCAGUAGUC
RNAcentral lists this ribosomal RNA (460 nucleotides) under uncultured bacterium. RNAcentral's name for it is "partial 16S ribosomal RNA". It matches the Rfam family "Bacterial small subunit ribosomal RNA", at positions 338 to 795 of the family's 1533-position model. The record is from RNAcentral.